AGAGCGAACGCUGGCGGCAUGCUUAACACAUGCAAGUCGCACGAACGGUUUCGGCUGUUAGUGGCGGACGGGUGAGUAUCGCGUAGGGAUUUAUCGUUGGGUGGGGGAUAACCUAGGGAAACCUGGGCUAAUACCGCAUAAUACCUUCGGGUCAAAGGAGCAAUUCGCUUAAGGAGGGGGUCGCGGCCGAUUAGUUAGUUGGCGGGGUAAUGGCCCACCAAGACUGUGAUCGGUAUCC
RNAcentral lists this ribosomal RNA (238 nucleotides) under uncultured bacterium. RNAcentral's name for it is "partial small subunit ribosomal RNA". It matches the Rfam family "Bacterial small subunit ribosomal RNA", at positions 26 to 288 of the family's 1533-position model. The record is from RNAcentral.